UGAGGAAUAUUGGUCAAUGGGCGAGAGCCUGAACCAGCCAAGUAGCGUGAAUGUUAAGCCCUUCGGGGUGUAAAGUUCUGUCAGUAGGGACGAAUUUUGACUGUACCUACAAAGGAAGCACCGGCUAACUCCGUGCCAGCAGCCGCGGUAAUACGGGGGGUGCAAGCGUUGUCCGGAAUCAUUGGGCGUAAAGCGUUCGUAGGCGGUAUAUCAAGUCUGGUGUUAAAGCCCGGGGCUCAACUCCGGUUCAGCAUCGGAUACUGGUAAACUAGAAUGCGGUAGAGGUAAGGGGAAUUCCUGGUGUAGCGGUGAAAUGCGUAGAUAUCAGGAGGAACAUCGGUGGCGAAAGCGCCUUACUGGGCCGUUAUUGACGCUGAGGAACGAAAGCCGGGGGAGCAAAUG
Molecule: ribosomal RNA, 402 nt
Filed under: uncultured bacterium
Lineage: Bacteria
Description: bacterial SSU rRNA
Rfam family: Bacterial small subunit ribosomal RNA
Source: RNAcentral